RNAcentral lists this ribosomal RNA (116 nucleotides) under Lepisosteus oculatus (spotted gar). The record is from RNAcentral. Lineage: Eukaryota; Metazoa; Chordata; Actinopteri; Semionotiformes; Lepisosteidae.
UUAUGGCCAUAUCACUCUGCAACUCACAACUGGCAACCCACUGAAACUAAGCAGGUGUGAGCCUGGUUAGUAGCUUGGUGGGAGACCUCCUGGAAAAACUAAGGUUGCUGCUUGAA